Lachnoclostridium sp. An118 is the source of this 101-nucleotide regulatory RNA element. It matches the Rfam family "THF (Tetrahydrofolate) riboswitch aptamer". Rfam says of the family: THF riboswitch presents a pseudoknot that joins P1-P2 and the loop of P3 and two THF binding. Lineage: Bacteria; Bacillati; Bacillota; Clostridia; Lachnospirales; Lachnospiraceae. The record is from Rfam.
AGCAGAGUAGGAAGAUGUGCGUUAAGUGCCGGAUGGACGGGGAGUUGCCAGCCGGACGAAAAGCAAGAGUGCUUGCGGUGCAUAUUCCGCAUCCCGCUGCU